This 58-nucleotide ribosomal RNA is filed under the name Clostridium collagenovorans DSM 3089. RNAcentral's name for it is "23S rRNA. Bacterial LSU". The record is from RNAcentral. Lineage: Bacteria; Bacillati; Bacillota; Clostridia; Eubacteriales; Clostridiaceae.
GGUGUAAGUAUGGUAACAUAUUCAGCUGACCGAUACUAAUAGGUCGAGGACUUGACCA